RNAcentral lists this unclassified non-coding RNA (214 nucleotides) under Hevea brasiliensis (rubber tree). Lineage: Eukaryota; Viridiplantae; Streptophyta; Magnoliopsida; Malpighiales; Euphorbiaceae. The record is from RNAcentral.
GUUUUCACAGCAAACUUGAAAGAAAGAAUUUUAAUUCUCACGGGACAGCCUUCUUUUCUCAUCCCCUGAUGGAAGUUGGGGAUGAAAAUACAAGACACUUGACUUCUUUUGUUUGCAGAAUGGGGAAAUUUCUUGAGUUGUCAAAUAGAUGGAAUUGUUGUUAUCCCUAUUUUAUUACUAUCAUGACUUGCAGGUGGUGACCGUUGCAAAAUUC